AAACAUUAAAUUCUACAGACAAUUUUUUUCAAAAUAUGAGAUGUUUUUAUGCACUUCUUAUUUCUAGUGAUUGACUUCAAUGAGUCAUAAAAUAUUUUAAGAUCUUUACAAAAGAAAUUAAAUGAGGGUGUUAUAGACAUUACUUUAGCUUUAUGUAUAUGAAACUUCCCGAGAAGAAUUAUUAAUUUGAAUGUGUUUAUCGCAGACGAGCUGGAAGCGAUAGAAAUUCCAUUAUUUUUGCAUGACAUUGGGCACAAUGAGCAACGAAGAAUGGUUCCAAAAAUAGACAAUUUUGUGGAGGAUGUUGUCCCUCUCUACAGUCUCUCAGAAUUUAGAGGUCAUUUCAGGCUUUCCAAAGAACAAGUGGAGGAUGUCAUUACUACCCUUGGUCCUGUUUAUAUGAAUUUACAACAGACCAAACUUCCACUCACAAACAGUGUUCUUGCCUGCCUUUGGACAUUGGCGAAUCAGGAGUCAUAUCGUGGGGUGGCAGAUAGAUUCAACAUGUCAAAAUCCACUCUUGCCAAGCAUCUCCAUGAGUUUUGUUGCAAUGUGAACACAUACAUGGCCCACCACAUUUCCUGGCCCAGAGGUCAAAGACUGGAGAUGUCAAAGUUUGGGUUUGACGCAGCAGGUUUCCCCAACACUGUAUGUGCAGUGGAUGGGUGUCACAUUCCUAUACUGAGACCCCACCUUGAUAAUCCCCUAGCAUACAUGAAUAGGAAACAGUUUUAUUCUGUAAAUUUAACUGGGUUUUGUGACAGUCAGCGGCGCUUCUGUCACAUCAGUGUGGGUUACCCUGGGAGUUGGCAUGAUGCCAGAGCAUUUCGCUUCACAGAAGUUUGUCGUGUUCUUGAAGAAGAUCCUCAUUCCCUUGUUCCACAAGGAAUGCACAUAAUUGGGGAUUCUGCCUACCCUUUGUUGCCUCAACUUAUGUGGCCACUUGUCUGCUAGGCAAAGAUACUUUAACAGAAAGCUCAAUGCAGCUCGCGUGGUCAUUGGGCAUGCAUUUGGCAUUCUAAAAUCUAAGUUUAGGAGGCUCCAUUGCCUGCAAAUGAGAAGCAUUUCCAAUAUCAGUUCAGCAGUCUCAGCCUGCUGCAUUUUGCAUAAUCUUUGUUUAGAACCCAGUGAUCAAGUUGUUGUGGUAGAUGAUGGUGUUGAUGAUGAACCACACCCCCAGCAACCCCACAACACUAAUGCAUGUCAUUAUAGAGACCAGAUUUGUGGCCAGAUCUAACUUGUAUGUGUAUACUAAACAUACAAAAGUAAAGAUUUGAAUGUACAGAAAUAUUCAACAAAUGAUAAAAAAACAGAUUUUGUGUUGAAAUAAAGAAUUUUAUUUUAUUGAACAAAAUUAGUUUGUCAUUAGAAAUUGUGUUCUUUGGGAACAUAAAAAAAAUACAUAGUAGACAUUUUGGGGAAAGGUGUAAAUCAAAAGAGAAAACAUCUUUACAUUAUCAUUUUAUUGAGGUUCAUGUGGAUUCUGUAAUAGAUGCAUAAUUUGCUCUUGUCUUUUUCCCAUUUUCUUCAGCUCCUCCACAAUUGUUCCCAAGCUGGUCACCAUCUUUUUUUCGAAGGACCUUCUCCGCCUCUCCUUAAGUCGCCACCAUCUCCCCAGAUCUGGCCUUACCAGGGACUCAAGCACAGCAGUCCUUCUCUCUGCAUGCUCUUCGUAAGCCUCCAGAAAUUGUAAGGGUUGUGGUCGUCUUUGCCUGCUUGUGACGUUUGUAUUUGGUAUGGUAGAGGUUCCUGGCUGUUCAUCCAUACUAGCACCUGCUGGCUGGUCUUGAAGAGAAGACGUUGUGGGCAUGCUUUGGGUGGAGGUCUCUUCCAAACCUAGAGGUGUGGAGUGAAUGGUGCCAAGUGGUGCAGUACCGAUCCCGAUGACCCAAAUAACUCAUCCAUUAGCUGGUGGGGGUGGAUUUCAAAUGUAAAAUGAAAAUGGCCAAUGUAAGACAUGACAAUGUUAUUUCAGAAACAUAAAGUAAAGCAGUCUUCAACUUACUGUAUAGUACUCCCAGGUGAUCUUCCCCUCCCCAGUUGCACGGCGCCUGUCUUUUACUCUCUUAUAAGUGGUUAACAUGUUUGCUAGUUUUUUUUCGAAUUUUUUCACUUGACAAGUUGUAGCCCUUUUGUGAGAAUGAGUUUUGUAUUUUUUUAUAGAACGCCAUUUUGUUCCUAAAAUAAAGUUGCUGGUGAGUUUUUGUAAGGUCCAGUAGAAAUAGUGUGAUUUUUUACAUGUUAUUUCUGUAAAAUGGAGGGGAUAAGGAGAGAAAUAGAUUAACACUACAAAACAAAGAAAAUGUAAUUUAACCACAGUAUUGACAUUUAUCUUCCUUACAGUAUUUGAUAUAAUACCUUGAGAUUCAUGCCUGUCUGACUGGAAGGAGGGGGAUGAAGGUUGAAUGGAUGCUGAAGGGUUUCCACACACUGCACCAGGUUGCAGAGUGGCAGGCGGUGGGUCCUUGACAGUGGAGGUAAGUAGUACAGGGGGCCUAGUGGUAGUAAUCGGGUACUGGCUGGUUGAUGGUGGAGGUGGUACAGGGGGCCUAGUGGUAGUAAUCAGGUACUGGCUGGUUGAUGGUGGAGGUGGUACAGAGGGUCUAGUUGUAGUAUUGGGGCACUGGCUGAUUGAUGGUGGUUUCACAAAACUGAGGUUUAGGGGUACCGGCGACCUAGUGGAGGUAGUGAGACAUGGAAUAAGAGGUUGGAGGAGCUUUGCAGCACAAGCUGGGCCACUGAGGAGAGCUGGUUGGAGAGAAGAUUGU
Xyrauchen texanus (razorback sucker) is the source of this 2768-nucleotide long non-coding RNA. RefSeq lists it as uncharacterized. NCBI's taxonomy places the organism in Eukaryota, Metazoa, Chordata, Actinopteri, Cypriniformes, Catostomidae. The record is from RefSeq and is a predicted model, not a curated record. The transcript has 3 exons.